CCGUGAGGCAGCGCCAGUCGGCUGGCUGCCCAGAGUCCGGUUCUGGGCUCCGGCGCUGGCUGAGGGCGCUGGCCCACUAAGGCUGCUUGGAGGGAGUUCAUCAGAAGAAUUGGCAUCCCUUUGCAGUAAAGUACUCAAGCAGCGCGGGAGAGCUCGGAGUAGAGUGGGCGUCCAUCACUUGCCCAUGUAAUGAAGUUCCUUUAAUAGGAGAACUGAAUCGGAACCCUCUGUGGCCUCCAGCCCUCCGUACAGAGUGCAGUGUGGAGCUGUCCUGCAGCCCAGAUCUGAAGCCAAGACCCUGAAGGGCCUCCUGACCAGGUGCCUCUGAAAGGAAGUGGCCCAGGGUUCAAGGAUAAUCAAGUACCACCUUUUCAGGGGUGGAAAUGAGGAAUUUGAAGAAGAAGGAUGCUGUGCGCGUUUGAACAGCCCUUACCCGGCAUCUGCUCCUCGGGAACAGGCUGUGUGAAGGAUGCACGAUGCAAGACUCAGCCUUGCCGUCCCCUCCCCCAGGAAAAGGUGCCCGCAGAAGCUCCCAAAACACUUGCCUUUCCCUUGCCCCCAGUGGCUGUUGCCACCUCCCCUCUCUGCUGUUUUCUCUUCCCCUUUCCUUUCCCUGGUGGACUUUCACUUCCCGGGGCCUUCUGACAAGCCGCACCCAGCUGCUGGCUUUGAACUGUCCCCACGCUUCCUGCCCUCAGCCCCUUGCCACCCACGCACAGUGACCCCCGUGGGGGGAGCGCUGCUGCCCACGGAGCCUCCUCCCCGGACGGGCCCCCUGCUCCCCUCGCGCGCGCGCGCCUGUCAUCGGCAAGGAAGUGAGAACUCCACAGCCUCCGCAGGCAGUCCAGGCCACUGGCGGCCGUGGCUCUUUCUUCCCGCCCGCUCUUCAGGGAAGCUGGCUCCGGGGUCGGCUCCCCCUUGGUUCAACCGUACCACCGAUCCCGUCUACGAAAGAGGCCCUGGCUCCGAAGCGCCUCUGCAGCCUGGACGCCCGGCCGGCCCUCCCCAGCUCACAGAUGGCUGGCUUGGCAGGGGCGCUGCGAGUAGGUCUGAACUCGCCGGAGGCCACACGGGUUAGUUAGAAUGCCGGGCCUGACUCCCUCAGCCACAGUCCACAAAGGCUCCUUGGCACGGGUUCUUUGUGGAGGGUUUGACCCAAAGGCCCAGGAAUGCAGGCUUGUGCCGUCCUCCCCUACAGCCUGCCCUCCAUUCUCACGGCUCCCCCCAGGAGCAAGUCCCAACCGAUUCCUCAGCCAGGGAGAAGGCCACGUGGACAAGCCCAGGCCCGGGCCCAGGGUUUGCCUGCCCUGCUUCCCUCCCUCCCUCCACCAUUCCACGUCUCACCCAGAAGCCCAGCUCUCCCCUACCAACCACUCCAGCCCAGCUGAUCUCAUCCAAAAAGCCACAAGCCACCGUUCUGGCCCUUGAUUUCCUAAUGUCCUGUGUGUGUUUACAUUCUACUUCAUUUGCAGACAGUAGCACAGAGGUAGAGAUUAGGGAUGGGCUUUGGAGUCAAAUGAGCUCUUGUUCAAAUCCUGGCUGCAUUGCUGUGUGCCCCUGGGCAAGCUACUGAACCUUUCUCAGCUUUAAUUACUUCCUCUAUAAAAGUAGGUAUAAUCACACUUGUUGAAAAUGUUAUUUCCCUGAGCAUUAAAGGAAAAUUUUC
Long non-coding RNA from Callorhinus ursinus (northern fur seal), 1666 nucleotides. RefSeq lists it as uncharacterized. The record is from RefSeq and is a predicted model, not a curated record. NCBI's taxonomy places the organism in Eukaryota, Metazoa, Chordata, Mammalia, Carnivora, Otariidae.